UUCCCUCCCUGUCUGAGGUCUUGUGUCAGGCUUGUGUCUGUGCAAACCUGUUGUUGUUUUUCCUGUUUUACUUUGAUAGUCUCUGUCCUGUGUGUAGUGUCUGGUUUUGCGCCCCCUUGUCUCGUCAGCUUUGAUUAGUCCCAGCUGUGCUCUCCUUCUGUGUCUCAUGCCCUCGUUAUCCCAGUGUGUAUUUAAGGCCUGUGUUUCUCUGUGUCAGUGUUGCAUUGUUAAUAUUUGUUCACCCUCUCCCGCUGUGUGAUCUGCCUGUCUGUGAAAGUUUAUUUUUUGUAUCUUCAGUUUUGUUGCUUAAGAGUUCAGCAUUAAAGCUGUUUUGUCUUCAUGUUUGCCUCUUUGGGUCCUGCGUUUGGGUCCUCGUCUCCUGUCUGCACACAGCGAUCCAUGACACAAACCAGUUUUAAUAAACCUAAAUUGCUGCAGGGUUAUUAGAUGAAAAUAAUAUUUUGAUGACUUUUUAACUGAGCUUACAGGCUUCAUCCUUUUCAAACAGAUCUCGGUUGGCUGUGAGGACCUGAUGACACGCCUUUCCACAUAUAAGCAGCUGAGCAGAGUUAAGAACCUCAUCUGAAACCAUCUCCAGCGCUUAUCUGGAAACUUGUUUUUGGUCUUUUUAUCUGCAAUUUCUCAAUAAAACACUCAACUGUGUAAAAGCAAGAUGAAAAAUCUUCAGUGGAUCUGUGCAGCGUUGAUGGCCCUGUUUGUUACAGGUGAAUCUCUGACCUGUAACACAUGCACACCGGGUUUUGGACUUAAAUGCUGGUUCAUCUCCACUGAGACCUGCAACAACACUCAGUUCAGCUGCUACAUGGGAACAGUGGACUUUAACAUCAGUAAGUGGAUGACUUUACA
Oreochromis niloticus (Nile tilapia) is the source of this 867-nucleotide RNA transcript. RefSeq lists it as uncharacterized. Lineage: Eukaryota; Metazoa; Chordata; Actinopteri; Cichliformes; Cichlidae. The record is from RefSeq and is a predicted model, not a curated record. The transcript has 5 exons.